GCCUGGGUGGCUAGGUCACUUAAAAGCGUGGGACUCUUGAUCUCAGAGUUGUGAGUUCAAGCCCCGCUUCAGGUU
RNAcentral lists this transfer RNA (75 nucleotides) under Canis lupus familiaris (dog). It matches the Rfam family "tRNA". From Rfam's summary of the family: Transfer RNA (tRNA) molecules are approximately 80 nucleotides in length. Their secondary structure includes four short double-helical elements and three loops (D, anti-codon, and T loops). Further hydrogen bonds mediate the characteristic L-shaped molecular structure. tRNAs have two regions of fundamental functional importance: the anti-codon, which is responsible for specific mRNA codon recognition, and the 3' end, to which the tRNAs corresponding amino acid is attached (by aminoacyl-tRNA synthetases). tRNAs cope with the degeneracy of the genetic code in two manners: having more than one tRNA (with a specific anti-codon) for a particular amino acid; and 'wobble' base-pairing, i.e. permitting non-standard base-pairing at the 3rd anti-codon position. RNAcentral also lists the same sequence under 2 other names. Lineage: Eukaryota; Metazoa; Chordata; Mammalia; Carnivora; Canidae. The record is from Rfam by way of RNAcentral.